Molecule: long non-coding RNA, 2757 nt
Filed under: Homo sapiens (human)
Lineage: Eukaryota; Metazoa; Chordata; Mammalia; Primates; Hominidae
Description: HSALNT0391744
Source: RNAcentral
ACUUCCUGCGAAGUUUUGACUGAGACGCUGCAACAAUUCCCGAGCUGUUUCAUCGUGGCACCUUCCUGGUGGCAGGUGGAUUAGCACAUUGUCUGCAACCCAGGAGGACUUGGAGGAAAGUCCCAGCUCUGCUGAUUCUAGCUGAGUAACCUUGGCAAAGGUCACCUCACUUCUCUCUGAGUCUUAUUUUCUCAUCUGUAAAAUGAGGAGGAGGAGGAGGAUCAUCCAAACAUCACGGGACUUCGUUAAAUCAGUGCUUCGGGGCACUUAGCACAGCGCCUGGCGCAAGAACUACCGGUCGCCCAGCUCUGUGUAUGUGGAGAGACGGCAGGAAGGACCAGAGAGUGAGGAUGUGAGGAACUCUAGCCGUCCUGAAUCUACCACUGUUCAGUAAUUUACAGUUCAAACCGGAUUGUGCCAGCUCACAUAUAUGGGACACUUACCCAACAUGCUAAGCAUCUUCCACACGUUAUCUAAUCAACCCUUACAACUCUAAGAGACAGAUACCAGUAGGAUCUCCAUCCUACAGCUAAAGAAACUGAGGCACAGAGGUGUUCAGAAACUUACCCAGGCCACAGAGGUAGGAUGUGCUGGUGGAACAAGGUUCAAACCCAGGAGCUCUGACUCUGGACACCUUGCUCUUGGACUCUUGUUAUUUCACAGUAGCCAGCACCCUAGACCAGAAGGGACCCCACCCUUUGGCUCAGCUCUCCCUCUCUAGCUGCCCUUUAUCUGCCCUCUCCCAAGCCCCUGAGCACUCCUGCUCCCAUUCCCAAGCAGCGGCUCUUUGCAAGGAAAGGGAUGAAAAAGGACUCAGCCUCAGUGGGGACAGUGUCAUAGUCAGGAUUUAAUUCCCCCAUUUAAAGGUCCACCCUUGCCCUGAGCUUCACACUAAGCCCUGUGAUGGGAGCCAGUGGGCCAAGGAAGGGGCACCCGGGUCCCAGGAGCCUUCUGUGGGGAGCUCUAGGCUGAGAGAGGUAACUUUCUGCAGCAGGAGCUGCAAAUGUGCAGACUGCGCAGAGAGCCCAGGGGUGGGAGAGGCCCCGGGAAUAAGAGGCGAGCGUGGGCUGGGUGUGCGGGGAAGGUGUAAACACAAUCUGCUCCCACCAAAGCCAGCCUGCUCCCUGGGGGAGACAGCCCCCCCACCCGGCCCACAUGGCACCCCAGCUGCCCAGGCAACCUCCAAGCCCAGGCAGCCACAGCCCCGCUGGCCGCCAGCAGCCCCUUCCUCUCUUUUUCCCGCCCUUCCUCUGGAUGGAUCCCUGGAGCAGCCACCACCUCCUGCGCAGGUUCUCGGAACAGUGGCGUGGAGGGGCGCUGCCCUGGGGAAGUGCGUCUGGGCCGUGAGCCAGCUCCAUGACCUUGGCCUGACAAUUCCUCAGACCAGUGGAAGGAGAUGAGCAACUCGGAAAUGGCAGCAAGGAUGAGGUGACAGGAACAUGGCAAAUAGAGAAUAAAUGCAGAUAGGAUCGGGGAACACAGACUGGGUCCCGGGAACAGUGCCCUCUGGCCCUCAGCCUGACAGGCCUGUCACCAGGAAGGCCGAUGCCUCCAAAGAGAGAGACAGGCUGACAGGAGCUGAGACAGGCGAUCACGGGCUCACGGCCUGGGUCAGGCUGGCGCUCUGGCUUUGCCUCUGCAGGCUCCUUCCCUAGUGUGACUUUCCCCCUGCCUCCUGCCUGCCCUACUUUGAGAGGCUCCCACAGAACUGCCUUCGCACACACCCCAGCCAGGCUCCCCGAGGUACCAGCAGGCCCUCCCCAGCGGGGUGCACCUCCUCCCCCACCCUGAGCGCCUCCCCAGCGGUUCCCUCUGCUCUGCGGCAUCCCUCACCCUUUCCCUUCCUUCCCUUCAGAGGCAGAGUGGCGGCUGAAGUGCUGCUGUCUAGAGAACUCCAUCUUCUACUGCCUGGAAGUCAAGGGCACGGGCCAGCCAGGCAGAGACAUCGCCGCUGGGCUGGGAGGGGGGCUGGCUGGGGAGGAGAGACGCGUGUGCACAGAGGCACGGGGGGUUUUUGAAGACUAAUAGCUGUGAGACAUCAGGAGCAGCUGCCUGCAGGGUCUGCUCCUGGAUCUGGGAGCAGAAGCGGAAAUCUGCUUUUAUCUCUGCUCAGGAUCAUGCAGGAUUGAAAAGAGAGAAAUGGCAGAGCAGCUGGGGGCAAAGGAGGCAGCCGCCGGGACUGAGCAUCAGCAAAUUGAUAAAAACAAGUGUCAGGCUUUUUCCUUCCCACACGCUACUGCCCGUUUGGAACACACGCGCUUGCACACAUACAGAAAACACAUUCGGAGGACAAGCUGUCCGUUGCUCCCAUCCAGCUGCAGGCAGACAUGUCACAGAUCCAACUGGCAUUUCUUAUUGAUAAUUUCAGCAGAGCAGCCAGUGACAGGAUGAGCUCUGGGAACUGGGGAAAGGCAAAUGACACAAAAGCGAGUGCCACUGUGGCAAACCGACACCAGCACCUCGGACCACAAGUGGCGGCUUAACAGAAUAGCUCCUGGGCUGACAGGCAGUUGGCCAGGCCAGCAAACCACCCCCAACCCCUGCAAACUGUUAGGUUCCAGGGGGAGGCCGCCUGCCAUGGUGGGUAGGAGCGUGGGCUCUGCAGCUCCAGUGUGAGCCUGGGAGCCUCCACUUCCUAGCUAGGUGAUGUUGGGCAAAUUAUUUAACCUGUCUCUGUGUUUCCCCAUUUAGAAAUUGUGGAUAAUAACAUUACCAGGCUCUGUGGGUGACUGAAGAUUAAAUUACAGAAUGAAUGGA